CUACGGGCCGCAGCAGUGGGGAAUAUUGCACAAUGGAGGAAACUCUGAUGCAGCAACGCCGCGUGGAGGAUGACACUUUUCGGAGCGUAAACUCCUUUUAUAUAGGAAGAAGAUGACGGUACUAUAUGAAUAAGCGCCGGCUAACUCCGUGUCAGCAGCCGCGGUAAUACGGAGGGCGCAAGCGUUACUCGGAAUCACUGGGCGUAAAGAGCGUGUAGGCGGAUUAAAAAGUCAGAAGUGAAAUCCUAUAGCUUAACUAUAGAACUGCUUCUGAAACUCUUAAUCUAGAAUAUGGGAGAGGUAGAUGGAAUUUCUGGUGUAGGGGUAAUAUCCGUAGAGAUCAGAAGGAAUACCGAUUGCGAAGGCGAUCUACUAGAACAUUAUUGACGCUGAGACGCGAAAGCGUGGGGAGCAAACAGGAUUAGAUACCCGUGUAGUC
Molecule: ribosomal RNA, 439 nt
Filed under: uncultured bacterium
Lineage: Bacteria
Description: partial 16S ribosomal RNA
Rfam family: Bacterial small subunit ribosomal RNA
Source: RNAcentral